UACGGAAGGCAGCAGUGGGGAAUAUUGCACAAUGGGCGCAAGCCUGAUGCAGCCAUGCCGCGUGUAUGAAGAAGGCCUUCGGGUUGUAAAGUACUUUCAGCGGGGAGGAAGGCGAUGCGGUUAAUAACCGCGUCGAUUGACGUUACCCGCAGAAGAAGCACCGGCUAACUCCGUGCCAGCAGCCGCGGUAAUACGGAGGGUGCAAGCGUUAAUCGGAAUUACUGGGCGUAAAGCGCACGCAGGCGGUCUGUUAAGUCAGAUGUGAAAUCCCCCGGGCUUAACCUGGGAACUGCAUUUUGAACUGGCAGGCUUGAGUCUUGUAGAGGGGGUAGAAUUCCAGGUGUAGCGGUGAAAUGCGUAGAGAUCUGGAGGAAUCCGGUGGCGAAGGCGGCCCCUGGGCAAAGCUGACGCUCAGGUGCGAAAGCGUGGGGAGCAAACAGGGAUUAGGAUACC
RNAcentral lists this ribosomal RNA (453 nucleotides) under uncultured bacterium. RNAcentral's name for it is "bacterial SSU rRNA". It matches the Rfam family "Bacterial small subunit ribosomal RNA", at positions 340 to 786 of the family's 1533-position model. The record is from RNAcentral.